This 252-nucleotide ribosomal RNA is filed under the name uncultured bacterium. Its description in RNAcentral is "partial 16S ribosomal RNA". It matches the Rfam family "Bacterial small subunit ribosomal RNA", at positions 109 to 354 of the family's 1533-position model. The record is from RNAcentral.
AGUAACACGUGAGUGACCUGCCUUUUAGACUGGAACAACUUACCGAAAGGUGAGCUAAUGCCGGAUGAGUUAUAUAAGUGCAUGUUUAUAUAGGAAAAGUUGGGGAGACCUGACGCUGAAAGAUGGACUCGCGUCCCAUUAGCUAGUUGGUAGGGUAAUGGCCUACCAAGGCGACGAUGAGUAGCCGGCCUGAGAGGGUGGCCGGCCACACUGGGACUGAGACACGGCCCAGACUCCUACGGGAGGCAGCAG